This is an RNA transcript of Physeter macrocephalus (sperm whale), 1208 nucleotides long. It is a transcript of the gene named conserved oligomeric Golgi complex subunit 1-like, with no coding region annotated. The record is from RefSeq and is a predicted model, not a curated record. The transcript is spliced from 6 exons. NCBI's taxonomy places the organism in Eukaryota, Metazoa, Chordata, Mammalia, Artiodactyla, Physeteridae.
GGACGGGAAAUUCAUUUGCAGAAAGAAGGUGCCUUUCCAAUGACCCAGAAUCGGGCACUGCAGCUGCUUUACGAUCUGCGUUAUCUCACCAUCGUUCUGACGACCAAGGGUGAAGAGAUGAAGAGCGGCCGCAGCAAACAGGACCCCAGAGUUGAGAAAGUAGCUGACUACCUUGAAGCGCUCAUUGACCCGUUUGACCUGGACGUUUUCACGCCGCACCUCCACGGCCACCUCAGCCGCCUGCUGCAGCGGACCUCGGUUCUCUUUGGAUUGGUGACGGGUACAGAGAAUCAGUUCACCCCCAGGAGCAGUACGUUCAACUCCCAGGAAGCCCAUAACAUACUGCCACUAGCAUCUAGUCAGAUCAGGUUUGGACUUCUUCCACUGAGCAUGACCAGCACUCGAAAGGCCAAGUCAGCCGGCAGAAGCAUCGAACCCAGAGCCCAGUAGGCUGCCAUCCGUUAAGCCUGCGGGAGUCCUCCUGGGUAUUUCUGAAGUGUGUUGUCGGCAGGCUGCUGUCCCCCCGGCACUCUCCCGAGCAGAUGAGCCGACGCACGCUGGCUCCUUGUUCAGACAGCUUGGCACCGAGGAGGAAGACUCGUCUGCGCCCUCACUGUUCAAACUUGGGUGGCUCUCUAGUAUGACCAAGUGACACGGGACGGUCCGUCUCUCUAAAUAAAUACUCCUGCAUUAUUUCUUCUAGAAGUGCCUCUGCUCAUUUGUUCCUAAGCCACACCAGUCUUUCCAGUUGCCGUGGUGGAAUGGGGCCCCCUGGUUCCCGUUGGGGGUUACUUUAAGCAAAAAGUGAAUCCUUGUCCAAUAGUUUCACAACACUUGUGACUUCAGACACCAGUUCAGAGAGCUUACGCUGUGUCAGCCUUCACCGGCGCCUUAAUUCUCGACACUACGAGGCGGAAUUAAUGAUCAGAGAGCACACACAAGCUGCUGCUGGACAAGUCUGUGAAUAAGACAGAGUCAUUUGCGUAUUCCUUGACUGUCCGAACUGAGCAGUGUUUUCUAAGUCUGAGAUGUAGGCUCUGGAGGAAUAACGGUAACAAGUUUAUCUGGGGAUCCAAGGGUCUGAGAGACCCUCUCUCUGGAAAUACAAAUAUAUAACAAAGAGAGAGGACGGUUAUCAGGGCGGGUGCUGACUUUAUCAUACAGUCUGACUGCAAUCUGGUGGUUCUCCUGUCACAGAGGACAGAGUA